CCUACGGGUGGCAGCAGUGGGGGAUAUUGCACAAUGGGGGAAACCCUGAUGCAGCGACGCCGCGUGUGGGAAGACGGUUCUCUGGAUUGUAAACCACUGUCCCCAGGGACGAAGAUGACGGUACCCGGGGAGGAAGCUCCGGCUAACUACGUGCCAGCAGCCGCGGUAAUACGUAGGGAGCGAGCGUUGUCCGGAUUUACUGGGUGUAAAGGGAGCGUAGGCGGGGAUGCAAGUUGGGGUUAAAGACUACUGGCUCAACCGGGAACCGCACUCAAAACUGCCGCUCUUGAGUGAAGUAGAGGCAGGCGGAAUUCCUGGUGGAGCGGUGAAAUGCGUAGAUAUUAGGAGGAACACCAGUGGCGAAGGCGGCCUGCUGGACUUUUACUGACGCUGAGGCUCGAAAGUGUGGGGAGCAAACAGGAUUAGAUACCCUGGUAGUC
This 440-nucleotide ribosomal RNA is filed under the name uncultured bacterium. RNAcentral describes it as "partial 16S ribosomal RNA". It matches the Rfam family "Bacterial small subunit ribosomal RNA", at positions 338 to 795 of the family's 1533-position model. The record is from RNAcentral.